AAGACCUUUAAUAUAGUCCCGUGAGACUGAGAAGGAGUUUGUAUACCAGGUUAGGUGUGCAAAGAUUUAUAUACGAUAAGUGUAUCCUCUCAUCCAUGGGUGAGGGGAUUUUUUUA
This 116-nucleotide small RNA is filed under the name Bacillus sp. 349Y. RNAcentral describes it as "PyrR". It matches the Rfam family "PyrR binding site". From Rfam's summary of the family: This family represents the PyrR binding site and terminator structure. Lineage: Bacteria; Bacillati; Bacillota; Bacilli; Caryophanales; Bacillaceae. The record is from RNAcentral.